UAGGGUGCUCGAGUGAUGACAUCCAUGUGGACUAGAGUUUCUGAUGCUGCCUCUUCAGCAGUGUGUUUGAAGACAAACCCUUGGCUGUCUGAGCUCCCAG
RNAcentral lists this small nucleolar RNA (100 nucleotides) under Triticum aestivum (bread wheat). RNAcentral describes it as "Small nucleolar RNA Z157/R69/R10". It matches the Rfam family "Small nucleolar RNA Z157/R69/R10". Rfam says of the family: Z157, R69 and R10 are members of the C/D class of snoRNA which contain the C (UGAUGA) and D (CUGA) box motifs. Lineage: Eukaryota; Viridiplantae; Streptophyta; Magnoliopsida; Poales; Poaceae. RNAcentral also lists the same sequence under 1 other name. The record is from Rfam by way of RNAcentral.